Leptonychotes weddellii (Weddell seal) is the source of this 1359-nucleotide non-coding RNA. NCBI's taxonomy places the organism in Eukaryota, Metazoa, Chordata, Mammalia, Carnivora, Phocidae. The record is from RefSeq and is a predicted model, not a curated record.
UCAUGACCUGAGCCGAAGGCAGGCGCUUAACGACUGAGCCACCCAGGCGCCCCUUCUACCCCUUAAUCCACACCUAUUUAUUAAGUUUAACUUACGGACUAACAUCAAGAGCAGUGGCUGUAAAUAUUCUUCUGAUUAAAUGAAAGAGUUGAUUUAUCAUGAAGAUCACAUUUAAUUUUCCAAUAAGAACAAAGUAGGUAAAUCCCACAUAGCAUUUGUUUCUGGGGGGGAAACGCUUUAAUAGCUAUGUGAUCAUUUUUUUAACUGAUAAUAAAUAUUAAAAAUUGAAAUAGCUCUCAGAGGUUAUCUCACUUUGUCCAGUGCAGGAAUCCUUCUGAAGUAGUCUGGACAGACGGUCAUCUCCCUAUGUUUGGACACUUCAGUGAGGAGUAGCUUACUAUUUUAGAUCUCCAUAGAUGACAUCAUCACUUUAUAGGUGUUGAAGUUAUGGGAUGGCUGUUUUCCUAACGAGUUGUCAUGUUUGAGCAAACACAGCCUUUUAAAUAGUAUUGGGGAGCUUGUUUCCUAAGGGAAUCCUGUGAUAAAAGCUUUUGAACAAAGUUCUUCAUAUUGUUGGUCUCCUUUCUUUUCUUCUUAGAAUGCAGUAUACCUGUAUUUUAAGUGAUAGCUUAAAAAUACUAAUUUGUAGAACACAAAUGUUUGGAAGUAUUUUAUUUCUAAAGGCAUUGUUGUUAAGGCCAAAAGAGAAUUCAGUUAGCGCUGAAAAGCGUUUGUCCCCUUGGUGACAAUGCCUUGCAUUAAUCUAGGUCAGGGGGAGAAAUGGGAUAACAGGCCUUUUAAGAGGACUCUCCUCUUUCUCCCUCACAUGGAGCCAGGAUUUGUUACUGAGUAUUUAAAUCUGAUUCUCUCUGUAGAUUGCUGCUAAAAUUGAUUCAGUUCCUCACUUGAAUAAUUCUACACCUCUAGUGGACCCCUCAGUGUAUGGAUACGGAGUACAGAAACGGCCCUUGGAUGACGGAGUAGGUAACCAGUUAGGGGCCUUGGUACAUCAAAGGGCAGUAAUAACAGAAGAAUUCAAAGUGCCUGAUAAAAUGGUUGGAUUUAUUAUCGGCAGGGGAGGUGAGCAGAUUUCACGGAUUCAAGCAGAAUCUGGUUGCAAAAUUCAGAUUGCUUCAGAGAGUUCUGGGAUUCCAGAGAGGCCCUGUGUACUUACCGGAACCCCAGAAAGUAUUGAACAAGCCAAACGGCUCCUGGGGCAGAUCGUGGACCGCUGUCGGAACGGACCUGGCUUUCAUAACGACAUAGACGGCAAUAGCACGAUCCAGGAAAUUCUUAUCCCUGCGUCUAAAGUGGGUCUGGUCAUCGGCAAAGGAGGGGAAACAAUCAAGCAGUUGCAGG